This 695-nucleotide non-coding RNA is filed under the name Macropostrongyloides mawsonae. Lineage: Eukaryota; Metazoa; Nematoda; Chromadorea; Rhabditida; Strongylidae. The record is from RNAcentral.
AAAGAUUACUUUUAUAGAUUUUAAAUUUGAUUAUGGUUUGUGAAGUUUUAAAAUGGUAUUAUUUAAGUUUAAUUUAUUAUGUGGGCAAUAUUUUUUUACCCCGGCAAUUAAUUAUUUGUAUAAUACUUGUUCCAGAAUAAUCGGCUAGGCUUGUAGAAUUUAGACUUUAUUUUGUUUUAAUUAUAAUCACUAAUUUAGUAAGUUUAAUAAUUAUAGGUUAAAUUUUAAUUAAUUUAUAAAAAUGGUUAUAAUUUUAAGAUUUGAUAAUUGAAUUAGAUUAGUACCUAAUUAAACAGAAAUUAAAAAAGCAGUAGUAAAGUGGUGUUUAAACUGAAAGAAUAUUGGCAGAUUUUCUAAAUUAUCUUUGGAGGUUGAGUAAUAAUUGAGAACCCUCAUUAACUACUUUAAUAUUUGGUCUCAUGUAUGAUCGUUUAUUUUAUACUUAAGGUAUAUAAUAAAAAUUGUUUAUUUAUAAAAAUAGAUAUAUAUUUGGUUUAUGUAAGAGUAAAAUUUGACCUACAAUAUAUUGAUUUUGUGGAUUUGUAAUGUGGUUUUAUAAUGAAAAUGUAAAAGACAGUAAAAAAAUCUUAAUGUUUUUUUGAAGAUUAUUUAGAUGUGGUACAAAUCAUCCAUCAAUUGCCUAAAGGGGAGUAAGUUGUAGUAAAGUAGAUUUAGGGGAACCUGAAUCUAGUAAU